Molecule: ribosomal RNA, 253 nt
Filed under: uncultured bacterium
Lineage: Bacteria
Description: partial 16S ribosomal RNA
Rfam family: Bacterial small subunit ribosomal RNA
Source: RNAcentral
UACAGAGAUCCCAAGCGUUGUUCGGAUUCAUUGGGCGUAAAGGGCGCGUAGGCGGCGGGGCAAGUCGGGUGUGAAAUCUCAGGGCUCAACCCUGAAACUGCACUCGAUACUGCUCUGCUUGAGGACUGGAGAGGAGACUGGAAUUCACGGUGUAGCAGUGAAAUGCGUAGAUAUCAAGUGGAACACCAGUGGCGAAGGCGAGUCUCUGGACAUUUCCUGACGCUGAGGCACGAAAGCCAGGGGAGCAAACGGG